GGGUUAAGUCCCGUAACGAGCGCAACCCUUGUCCUUAGUUACCAGCACGUUAUGGUGGGCACUCUAAGGAGACUGCCGGUGACAAACCGGAGGAAGGUGGGGGAUGACGUCAAGUCAUCAUGGCCCUUACGGCCUGGGCUACACACGUGCUACAAUGGUCGGUACAAAGGGUUGCCAAGCCGCGAGGUGGAGCUAAUCCCAUAAAACCGAUCGUAGUCCGGAUCGCAGUCUGCAACUCGACUGCGUGAAGUCGGAAUCGCUAGUAAUCGUGAAUCAGAAUGUCACGGUGAAUACGUUCCCGGGCCUU
RNAcentral lists this ribosomal RNA (307 nucleotides) under uncultured Pseudomonas sp. Its description in RNAcentral is "bacterial SSU rRNA". It matches the Rfam family "Bacterial small subunit ribosomal RNA", at positions 1077 to 1382 of the family's 1533-position model. Lineage: Bacteria; Pseudomonadati; Pseudomonadota; Gammaproteobacteria; Pseudomonadales; Pseudomonadaceae. The record is from RNAcentral.